Molecule: unclassified non-coding RNA, 233 nt
Filed under: fungal sp.
Lineage: Eukaryota; Fungi
Description: partial internal transcribed spacer region
Rfam family: Eukaryotic small subunit ribosomal RNA (bases 1-46)
Source: RNAcentral
AAGUCGUAACAAGGUUUCCGUAGGUGAACCUGCGGAAGGAUCAUUACCAAGUUUAAUCCAAAACACUCAACCCAUGUGAACGAUGAAAUUGUCUGUCUUUGGGGUGAAAGAGAUUCAAGAACUUCUUGAUUGAUUUCACCCCACAUGUGUUAACAUCCAUUUAUUUUGUAUUGGCAUCUACUUGUCUUAAUAAAAUAUUAGACAACUUUUAACGGUGGAUCUCUUGGCUCGUG